This 467-nucleotide ribosomal RNA is filed under the name uncultured bacterium. RNAcentral's name for it is "partial 16S ribosomal RNA". It matches the Rfam family "Bacterial small subunit ribosomal RNA", at positions 28 to 506 of the family's 1533-position model. The record is from RNAcentral.
GACGAACGCUGGCGGCGUGCUUAACACAUGCAAGUCGAACGGAAAGGCCCUGCUUUUGUGGGGUGCUCGAGUGGCGAACGGGUGAGUAACACGUGAGUAACCUGCCCUUGACUUUGGGAUAACUUCAGGAAACUGGGGCUAAUACCGGAUAGGAGCUCCUGCUGCAUGGUGGGGGUUGGAAAGUUUCGGCGGUUGGGGAUGGACUCGCGGCUUAUCGGCUUGUUGGUGGGGUAGUGGCUUACCAAGGCUUUGACGGGUAGCCGGCCUGAGAGGGUGACCGGCCACAUUGGGACUGAGAUACGGCCCAGACUCCUACGGGAGGCAGCAGUGGGGAAUAUUGCACAAUGGGCGGAAGCCUGAUGCAGCAACGCCGCGUGCGGGAUGACGGCCUUCGGGUUGUAAACCGCUUUCGCCUGUGACGAAGCGUGAGUGACGGUAAUGGGUAAAGAAGCACCGGCUAACUACGU